This 2468-nucleotide long non-coding RNA is filed under the name Sus scrofa (pig). Its description in RNAcentral is "lncRNA (ENSSSCG00000057468.1)". The record is from RNAcentral. Lineage: Eukaryota; Metazoa; Chordata; Mammalia; Artiodactyla; Suidae.
CCUCACCCACUCAUUCACUUUUACUCAUUUUUGUGUAUUUCACUGUGCCCUACAUACAGAGGUGCCUCAUGUUUGAUGUUAAAAUAAUACUAGUGUGUGUGGUACGUAAGCACACACAGGAACACGCAGAGAAUACGGUAUAAAGAAGAAAAGAUGUUGCUAAUGACUUGGUAGUAGAAAAUUGUAACUCUGUACUUAAAGAUGUAGCAAUGUGAGUGAGAGUAAGAAAGAAAUCAAGAUAAAGACUUUGUGACAUGGACAUUUUAGGCUGAUGGCAAUCCUGAAAUUCAAAUUCUAACAUGUCAACUAUAACGGAAUUUCAGGGUAAAGACUGAAAAUUAUUUUAAGGAAUAUUCAGCCCACCCUGUAUUCUGAGGUACUUCCAAAUUACAUGAACCAAAUGGUUUCAGUCAAGAAAAUUUUGUGUCUUUGAGCAAACGAGUGACUAACAUAAUAUAUGAUACUUACAUGAUCUUUAGAUAAUAACUGUGAGCCGUUCAAAGCCAGGAACGAGUCUUGUUCAUUUUGGUCUCUCUUUAACAUCUAGACUAGCACUGCACACAGCAGAUGCUCAAAAAAGGCUUAUUGAAAGAGUGACUGUUACCUUUGCAAAAACUUAAAACAAAUGGCUGACUUUCUGGCUACAUAGGUGCACCUAUGCAUGAAUAUAUAGAUAAAUGUAGUAGGAAACAAUUGUUCAUUGGUUGUUUAAUUAUAAACAAAAGCCCUUCAUUCCUUGCAAAGGUUUUAUUGUCUUUAAGUUAAUCUUUAAAUUUAAUUAACUUUAAUUUAAUUUAAUUAACUAAUUGUCUUUAAGUUAAUCAGAUCACUGUCUCCCUCGAAGAAGACUGUCGUUUCUUUGAAAAAUACAGUGUACAUUGUUAUAUCUAAGACUUGUUUAUUUCUACAAUAUUUGUCAGCAUAGCUCUUCUAAAUAUCAAAUAAAACUAAAAUUUAUAAAAUUUUAUAAUGUUAUUUUCACAUGUAUUACCUACUUUUAUUCAAAGUAGUUCAUGUAGUUUGUAAACUCUAACAUAUACAAAUUUACUUCUCUUAAUUUUCUGUUUCAAAAGGACAAAAUCUUUAAUUCUUUUUUUUUUUUUUUUUUUAGUUUUAUGACCUCACCCACAGCAUAUGGAAGUUCCCAGGCCAAGGAUGAAAUCCAAGUCACAGCUGUGACCUACACCACAACUACAGGGCAACAAUAGAUCCUUUAACCCACUAUACCAAGCAGGGGAUCAAACCCACGCCUCCACAAUGACUUGAGCCAGGAGCCACUGCAGUCGGAGUCUUAACCCACUGUGCCAUGGCGGGAAUUCCUAUUUUAAGAUUUUAUAUUCAGAAUUAAAUUUCUAUUCUGCUUACUAAACUCAUUUAUCCAUUCAUUAAGUGCACUAGUCAUUCCAGGGUAUUACUUGCUGAUGAGGAAUUGAGUCUAAAUUUCCUUCGUUAAUGUUGUACAUCCUGAUUCUGUGACUAACUUGGUUCAAAACCUUUGUUCAUUAUUUCUCAGCUGUUAAAUGUCUGAUUACCAGAAGAAGUCCAUGGGUCACAAGGAUCUGUUUUUAGAAUAAUUUAGGCAAAACGAGCAAAAGUUUACUUAUUUGGGAUAUUAUUUCUGAGAAACGAUUAUCAAAAGGAAUUAACUUAUUCUAUUUGUUACCUAGAAAUUAAUAAAUCAAUGGAUGACAGUAUUGCCCCAAACAUAGUGUAAUAAGUGUAUUCGCUGCUAGACUCUAAACCCUACAGGAGCAGAGAUGUAUUAGUAUUAUCUGCCACUGGAUGCCCAAUGUCACGCAGAAGUAUCUGACACAUAAUAAUCAAUCCAAUAAAUAUCAGGUGAUUGGAACAAAACUGAACAGGUAAAGUAAUACAGAAGUUCUUCCAAUCAUUUAUUGAAAAUAUAAUGAGACAUUUCUACAUGCAAAGGAAGUUAAAACUACAUCAAAGGAAAUUAACUAAAACCUUUCUUAUAUUUCAUAUAGAUGUUGUGUUUCAUUCUAAUAUUGAUAUGUAAGUAUGUAUGUGUAUGUGUCCAUUUUGUUUUGUUUGUUUUGACCACACCCAUGGCACACAGCGGUUCCCAGGCCAAGGAUAGUACCUGCCCUAUAGCAGUGACAACACCAGAUCUUUUACUUGCUGAGCUACCAGGGAACCCCCUAUGUGUCCAUCUUGAUAUCAUCUCCAGAUGGUCAUAGAGUUUGAAUGCUGAGAAUGCAAUAAUGGUAAUAAUAAUAGCAAUAAUAAAUAAUAUAAACAUUUAUCAAGUCCUUAUCGUGUGCCAGGAACUAUGUGCAUGUAUUUAUUCAUGUAUUAAUUCUUUUAAUUCUCACAGCUGUUUACCUAGUAAGGCAAAUGCAGUUUUAUCUCUUUUUACAGAGAAAGAAACAGCCAAAUUCUAGAGGUACUAAAAGAUAUAUGGAAAGCAAUGACACCCUUACAGUUUGACCAGCUUGUCAUAUGACUAC